RNAcentral lists this non-coding RNA (25 nucleotides) under Drosophila erecta. RNAcentral also lists the same sequence under 1 other name. The record is from RNAcentral. Lineage: Eukaryota; Metazoa; Arthropoda; Insecta; Diptera; Drosophilidae.
AAAGAACUCAAGAAGGUGGACUUCA